RNAcentral lists this ribosomal RNA (495 nucleotides) under uncultured bacterium. RNAcentral describes it as "partial 16S ribosomal RNA". It matches the Rfam family "Bacterial small subunit ribosomal RNA", at positions 28 to 507 of the family's 1533-position model. The record is from RNAcentral.
GACGAACGCUGGCGGCGUGCCUAAUACAUGCAAGUAGAACGCUGAAGGAGGAGCUUGCUCUUCUGGAUGAGUUGCGAACGGGUGAGUAACGCGUAGGUAACCUGCCUGGUAGCGGGGGAUAACUAUUGGAAACGAUAGCUAAUACCGCAUAAUAGUAGAUGUUGCAUGAUAUUUACUUAAAAGGUGCAAUUGCACCACUACCAGAUGGACCUGCGUUGUAUUAGCUAGUUGGUGGGGUAACGGCUCACCAAGGCGACGAUACAUAGCCGACCUGAGAGGGUGAUCGGCCACACUGGGACUGAGACACGGCCCAGACUCCUACGGGAGGCAGCAGUAGGGAAUCUUCGGCAAUGGACGAAAGUCUGACCGAGCAACGCCGCGUGAGUGAAGAAGGUUUUCGGAUCGUAAAGCUCUGUUGUAAGAGAAGAACGAGUGUGAGAGUGGAGAGUUCACACUGUGACGGUAUCUUACCAGAAAGGGACGGCUAACUACGUG